Molecule: small nuclear RNA, 183 nt
Organism: Dermacentor silvarum
Lineage: Eukaryota; Metazoa; Arthropoda; Arachnida; Ixodida; Ixodidae
Product: U2 spliceosomal RNA
Exons: 1
Source: RefSeq, a predicted model, not a curated record
ACAUGGUCGACGCAGGACAAAAUGUGGCAUCUGUCCUUAUCAGCAUAAUAUCUGAUACGGGUUGUAUUUGGACGCAAUAUAUUAAACUUAUUCUUGAAUGUUGGCUGAGUGCUUGAAGCCUGCUUCACCGCCGCCGCGCGUCGGCCAGGUACAGCACAAUCUUCGGGAUUUGGGGUUUACCGA